AUGAACGCUGGCGGCGUGCCUAAUCCAUGCAAGUCGCGCGAACAGACGAGGAGCUUGCUCCUCUGACGUUAGCGGCGGACGGGUGAGUAACACGUGGAUAACCUACCUAUAAGACUGGGAUAACUUCGGGAAACCGGAGCUAAUACCGGAUAAUAUAUUGAACCGCAUGGUUCAAUAGUGAAAGACGGUUUUGCUGUCACUUAUAGAUGGAUCCGCGCCGUAUUAGCUAGUUGGUAAGGUAACGGCUUACCAAGGCGACGAUGCGUAGCCGACCUGAGAGGGUGAUCGGCCACACUGGAACUGAGACACGGUCCAGACUCCUACGGGAGGCAGCAGUAGGGAAUCUUCCGCAAUGGGCGAAAGCCUGACGGAGCAACGCCGCGUGAGUGAUGAAGGUCUUCGGAUCGUAAAACUCUGUUAUUAGGGAAGAACAAAUGUGUAAGUAACUAUGCACGUCUUGACGGUACCUAAUCAGAAAGCCACGGCUAACUACGUG
This 496-nucleotide ribosomal RNA is filed under the name uncultured bacterium. RNAcentral describes it as "partial 16S ribosomal RNA". It matches the Rfam family "Bacterial small subunit ribosomal RNA", at positions 29 to 507 of the family's 1533-position model. The record is from RNAcentral.